AGUUAGCCACUGCAAAACUAUAGUGCAUCUGAUUUCUGCAAAAAAGAGAUGAUCUUAGGCCUUUGAAUGCAACAAAAGAACAAAUGAACUCCAUACCUCUGAGAGCCCUUCAAAACUGAAUGGAUCCUGUCACAAACAAGCUGUCAUGCCUGAGGGAAGAAUAGGUGGUGACCUAGCUGCCAUGAGGUCUACAGGGUUUCUGUUCCCCCUCACCACCUGCCUUCUUCAGCACCAGUGUCCUCCAGGACAGGAAACACGUGUCUGGCCAGACCCAGUUCCUGGGUCAAGCCACUGUAUUCUGGUGCUGGAGAGGAAGAGAUUUCCAAUGAAACAGUUAAAGGUAUCAAAAUGCCAACAGAUGUCAAAAGGAAUGGGCCCUGAAGUACCACAGAGUAGCAAAGGAGGAUUGACAGGUAUACAACUGAAAUUCAUCCCACUUGGAAUGCGAUGAGAAGAUUUGCUUUCUAAGACAUACAGUUGAGUUUUAAUACUGAGUUAUAUGAACCCCUCUCCAGUGCUUUGACUGGGGUCACAAAGUGAAAAGGACACCACUGGGAACUAUGUGCAGGCCCCAGAGAAGUCACCUAUUUCUUAAGGGCUACAGGAGACCGUUCCUAGAUAAGAUGGUUUGUGCUGCUCUGCUGCUAUAACUAACAUCCCAGAAAAUGGUUUGGGCCCAAACCAACUUCUUGUCUCCUGCACAGUCCUUAGCAGCAGCUCAGAAUAUAUAAAAUAUGGAACCUAUUCUUAAGAAGCAUUUUGAUUAUGGCUGCCUUUGUAUGACAGCAAUAGAGUUUAAUGUAUGAAUAUGUGCAACUGCAUGCUAGUUGGCCUCCAGGGUUUGCAAGCUUCCCAGAAAAAUUAAAUUGACUAGCACUGCUGCAGUCUUAGUUUUGCUUAUCCAAAUGUUUCUAUUUAUUCAUUUGCUUCUGCUUUAAGUCUAGAAAAUGUCUUUAUCAUUUUAGAGUACUUAUAAAUUAGCAAUUAGGACAGAUGAUAUCUCACAUUUCUUUUUUUUUUAUGAAAAGUUUUCUUUAAAAAAAAACAGAACAAUGUAGUUGAUAAGUGUGUAUGCUAAUAAAUUUUAAAUAAAAUCAAGUAUUUGUUGACCA
Anser cygnoides (Swan goose) is the source of this 1112-nucleotide long non-coding RNA. The record is from Ensembl. Lineage: Eukaryota; Metazoa; Chordata; Aves; Anseriformes; Anatidae.